AUGCUGAAGACGCGGAUGCGCAAGUGGCCGGCGAUCUGGUGGCACACCCCCGUGCAGUAGCGCGUCAGGUCCACCAGGGAGAGCACCUGAGGAGUUAGUUGUUGGCGUUAGAGCAACGCAAGACAAGGAACUGACCGUGGCGAUCCAGAGGACGACGUACUCGUCGACGAAGCUGUUGAAGUAUUGGUUGAGGAAGAGGAGGCCCGGGCCGAUGAAGGCCGUGUCCGGCAGGUGGAGCUCACUCUUGGUCAUGUGCGCCACCUGCGUCGAGCAAAAACCCUUUGUCGACAUUCCACACGGCGUAGACAUUUCAAGAGCAACUUACCACAAGCUUGUUGGAGAUCUUGGCGAUGACCAUGCCGAAGGCGAGAAGGUAAAGGCAGGGGUGGUGCUCAAAUAGCUGACUGGAUGACUUCUUGAAGAUGAUGAAGGCCAGCGUGAGGAUGAGGCCGAUGUGCAAGCCGGGACUCAGCACGCUGGUGUCCUGCGCAGCGUCAACGGUUAUAUGGCGCCACAUCACCACGCUAUUCGGCAGGGCUUACCGCCACAGUGGAGCCAUUUUUACCCACGCCGCCAUUGAGAAUGACGUGGAAGUAGUUGUGGCAGGAGUAGAGGGCCCCGCCGAUGAUGCCCAUGAUGGGGAAGAUGUAGAGUUGCAGUCCAAUGAGGGGCAGCUUGAAAAACAAGACACGGAUUGAAGAGCCGCAAGUGGACAACCGCCAUGCUGCUGAAGGAGUCGGUUCAAGUCACCGUGGUUUGCCAAAGGCUCACCCCACCAAAGGCGGACAUCAGGUACAUGGCGAUGAUGGCAAACUGCACCUCGGUGACAUCCACCCUGCCCAGGAGACAAAGUGGCUGAGGAGGACAAGCGCUAGUUGGCAUGCGCCCAAGUCGGGGGAGGACUCACAGGCCAAAGCGAAGAGUUCCUGACACAUAGGUCUGCCAGUGGGCGCAGAAGAACAUGAACAUCCCGAUGAAGCCGCAGAAGAAUAUCCAGUG
Syngnathus acus (greater pipefish) is the source of this 999-nucleotide long non-coding RNA. RefSeq lists it as uncharacterized. The transcript has 2 exons. The record is from RefSeq and is a predicted model, not a curated record. NCBI's taxonomy places the organism in Eukaryota, Metazoa, Chordata, Actinopteri, Syngnathiformes, Syngnathidae.